Molecule: non-coding RNA, 27 nt
Filed under: Mus musculus (house mouse)
Lineage: Eukaryota; Metazoa; Chordata; Mammalia; Rodentia; Muridae
Source: RNAcentral
CCGGGUGUGUGUCUCAGAGAACUCAGA